RNA transcript from Andrographis paniculata, 5723 nucleotides. RefSeq lists it as uncharacterized. The transcript has 10 exons. The record is from RefSeq and is a predicted model, not a curated record. NCBI's taxonomy places the organism in Eukaryota, Viridiplantae, Streptophyta, Magnoliopsida, Lamiales, Acanthaceae.
AUCUGGCAAACUUUCUUCCUUUCUCAUCGAAUCAGAAUCACUUGUGGAACGGCGUACACCUAUCAGCUUCCUUCCUGCGUUAGGGUUUCUCUCACCGAUUACUCUUCCUCGUCUGCCUUGCGGACGCCCCAUCGCGUCGUUUCCGGCCACUACAUUUUCGCGUCUGGAUUGCAGUUUGUUUAGCCGACUACAUCUUCAUAGGAUAAUUUAACAGUGGGGAAACUUGUGGAGGAUGCUGUGAGCCUAGUUCUGUCGAUUAUUAUUUUAGCUUGGUUUUAAGAUGCAUGGUCAAGGGAAUUACACAACUCAAGCUGGGCAGGCUCCUUAUGCUCCACAGCCUGCAUUUCAGCACCACCCUGUUGCCGUACCUCGUCCUCCGCCUGUCCCUCAUCACGGUCCACUUCCUCCCCCACCACAUGCCAUUCCACAAGGGCAUCCUUAUUUUCAUUUUAGACCCGGCAUUGUGGCAUAUCCGAAUACUGUACCCAGUGUUCCUCAACAGGGCCCACCGGUCCCAGCUGUAACAAGUGGAAUGAGUUCUAACCAAUCCUAUGUAACUUAUCCUCAACCUCCUCAGGGCAAUGCAGGCGCCCAAAUGUCUUGUCCCUAUCCUGCUUCCGAGCAACAACGUCAGCCGUGGAAUCAAAAUGCUCAUCAAUUUCCUCCUGCGGCACCUCUUCCUGCUCCAAGUGCUUAUCCACUGGCAUCUUCGCAAGAGCAUACUAUGGAGAGAGGCCGUUCUUUUCAACCCUCAUUUCAUGGUCCACCGCCCCCACAGCCACCGAGCAUUCCUGGGUUUUUAAGACCUGAUCCUUAUGGUCCCCCUGUCCCUCCAGUGAGACAACAUUCCUUUCCACAAUCAAUGGGGACACUUCCCCUUCCACCACCACCACCUCCUCCACCUCUGCCUUCUUCUUCCCCACCUAUAGUUCCACCACUUCCUCCAUCUUCACCCCCAUCAGAUAUUUUGUCAAAUAAUGAAGGAAGCCAGGGGAGGAUACAAGAUGGAAAUGAUUCUAUAUCGGAACACACAUCUCCCGGAAAGUCUGUGAAAGAUGGAAGCUUGCAUCAAGCUGAAGACGUACUUCCGCAUACUGAAAAAAUUGACCCUAAGGUAGAGUUUGAGGAUGCUAUUGCCACUCAUUCACCUGGUGACUCUGAUAUGGACAUGGAAGAUGAUAUUACUCUCCCUGAUGUGGAGAGGAAUGAUUCGUUAUUGAAUAACUCAAAUGAUGAGCGCAUUUCAACAUCUCAAGAUCAUCACGGGAAGGAGCACCUGCAGGACGUGCUGGAUGUUGGAACACAAUUGCUUCCUGAAGUUGCUCUUGAUGGUUCUGCUUUGCCUGAAGGAUCCCAGGAUCCAAAUGGAGGAAAGGAAAGAAAUGAACAAGCUGAACAGCGCCUGGAUGACUUAUCUUUCCAACAUGAAAAUUUCAACACACCAUCUGUACCUAUAGUUACUGAAGCAAUUGGUAAUAGUAAUCUUUCUGGUCCGGUAAAUGAAGGCACCGAUCCAUUCAGUCUUUUACAGGACUAUGCUUCUGAUGAUAGUUCUGAAAAUGAGGGUGCAAAUGUUCCUGGUGAUGGUAGUUCUCAAUCCAACAAGGAUGGACAUACGAAUCUUGAUACUGGGAAGGUGUGUAAAUUUGGUUCAGAGCUCCACAGGCAGAGUGUCUCAGAGGCCAGUAAAAAUAUACUUGUGAAUUCUGUGAAUGAAUCACCAAGCAUGAUGGAAGCAGAUAGCAUAUCUAUAGGGACACGGGAAGUCAAGGAAAUUUCUGGCAGAAGUAGUAGACGCCAAGAAUUUGAGUGUGAUCAACAUAAAGAUUCUUCAAGACAUUAUGACACUGAUAUUGGUUGUGAGGAUGCCAAAAUGUGCCCGUCAGAUAUCAAGAGUGAUGUUACUAAAUUGAAUGUAGAUGAGUUUGGUAGGUUGAUUAGAGAAGGUGUUAGUGACAGUGACACAAGUGAUUCACCACGUUAUGCACGGAAGCAAGGAAGAAGAGCUAGAAAAAGGAGUAGAAGUCAAAGUAGAAGUCCAUCUCCUCGUGGCCGGCGGAGGAGAAGAAGUCCGUGGAGGAAAGAGAGGCGUGGUCGAUCUCGCAGUUGGUCUCCAAUGAGAAGUAGGAGUAGGUCUCCUAUUGUGCAGCGUGGCAUUGAGUCCACAGGUGAUAAACCGAGACAGGAACGGGGUCAGCCUCCUGUAUGCUUUGCCUUUCUCCGAGGCAAAUGUUACCGUGGAACUACUUGCCGUUAUUCACACCAUGAUCCUGAGAAGAGUGAGAAAAAGAGAUACAGUAGAGGAAAACAGUAUCGGGAUAAGCCACAUGAAUUACGGAAUCCUGACUAUCGUGAAGAGAGUAAUGCUAUCCCUGAAAGAGAAAAACAUAUGGGUACCAGACUUCCUCUAGAAACAUUUGAUCUGAAAGAAGUAAAUGAUUCAGAUGAUCUGCCAGUUGAUUCUUCUACCCACACACUUGAAAAAGAUGAAAAAGAUUCUUCCCUUCUAGCUUCUGAUGUUUUAGGCAGCAACCUUUCACGCAAUUCUGCUCAUAAUGUAACCUCAAGGAAAGAAGAUUCUUUGACUCCAGAACCUGAGGGACCUGAUAAGAUCCAUCAAAUCAUUAAUCAGCCAGACCAACGAAGUACCGAUGCUUUAUUCUCUAAUACUCCUGUCAUGGAAGCACCAUUAACCGCACCAGCCAGUGUUCCUGCUGAUCAGCUCGAUGUAAAGGAGGCCCCUCCUGCUGUGAGUUCACUUGGAAAUCCUGUUUCAAAGCCCUAUUUCUCUCAAGAGGUUCCUUCUCGGCCUUUGGAGGAGCUGCUCCCUUCAGGUGCUACUCAUCUAUCCCAGUCAGGCCUUCCUUUACCUUCAGUCUCUCAGGUGGUGACUCUGCCUUUCACUCAGUCAGCAAUGCAAGAUUAUAACAAGAUGCCCUCAGUAUCCCAGUAUCAUUCAGCUCCAGCAAAUUAUUCACCUUAUCAAGCCCCUGUGAGUUACCAGAAUAUGCCUUUUCCUGGACUCUCAAACUCUUUGUCAAGCUCAUUUGUUCUACCACCACCUCCAUCUCAGAGUCGUAUAUCUACUAAUUUAAAUGCUCAAGAAUACACUCUACCUUCACAGCAUAUGCAACACUUGCUGCUGCCUUCACAUGAGGGUUUAUCUUCUAAUGCCUACAAGGAAAGUCUGCCAAUUGAAUAUCCUAACCGAUCUUUGACUGGUCAGUUUCAGUUGUACUCUACAAUGGGGGAGCCUGGUCAGAGGCCACAUAUCAGCAAUAUUUUUGAGUCAGCUCUAAGUAGUCGUUUGGGUGCUUCUCAUGUAAGAGGAGAAGAAUGCUUGACAGGGUAUGAAGUUCAGGAGCGGAAUCAUUCUCGAUCAUUUUCUGAGGCUCAAUCACAUUUUUCCUUGCCAAUUCAGUCUCUGCUGAGGGGAAUGCAGGGUUCUGGUGUUGGAAAUCCUCUGUCAGACGGUAGUCGACCUUACAUCCAGCAGGUUUCUCAUGGUCCACAAUAUUCUGUUGGUACUACUAUCACUGCACAGUUGACUGAAACUGGGAACACAAGUUCUUCCUUAUCAAAUGUAACCCCAGGCUUUCCUCAGAACACUCUACCUAGUUAUGUGCAUGAGAUUGUUGGAUCCCGAACUUCAAACAAUUUCAGUCCAUAUGCGCCCACUUUCAGUCAACCACUGGGCUUUAAACUUGGUUCUAAUGCUUUGACCCAGGAAAAUGAUUUAAACAAACAUGUUGGAUAUGGCGCCUCAUUUGUGUUGGCUUCAGCUUCUGGUGAUGGGCACAAGAUUGGAAGCACCAAUAUGGUGUCAUCAAAUUGUGGGUUGCCAGCUGUAAAUGUAAUACCAAGGCUUGGUGGCAAUCAGUAUGAUCCUCUCUUUGAUAGCAUCGACCCAGCUUCAAAUUCCUUUACUAGAGUUGAUCAACUAAAUCGCGAAAUUGUUGGCGAUUCUGAUGAUGUGCUUAAACUUGGUGGAUCUGGAAGGAUGUUAAACACUGAGGCCAUCAAUCAGGAAAAAGGAUUAGCUGUCUCUCUUAGUGAUUCUGUUGAAAAUGAAGAGUUUGGUGAGACAGCUGAUGCUGGGGUAGGUGCAGUGUUGAGUGGAAGUCCUUGUUAUCCGAAUGAGGCACCUGAUAUGAAUGCUGGAGAAAUUGAGAUGGAUCAGGUUAAGAAAUCUGGUAAAAAGAAAAAGAGCCAUGAGAAAUCUAUGAAACUGUUUAAGAUUUCCAUUGCUGCUUUUGUGAAAGAGGUGCUAAAGCCAUCAUGGCGCCAGGGUAAUAUGAGCAAGGAAGCAUUUAAAACCAUUGUCAAAAAAACUGUUGAUAAAGUUUCGGGAGCAAUGAAGAGUCACCGCAUACCUAGAUCCCAGACAAGAAUAAAUCACUACAUUGAUUCUUCACGGGGAAAGUUAACCAAGCUAGUUAUGGGGUAUGUUGAUAAGUAUGUCAAGGUGUGAAACCCAAUUUAGGUGACGGAUCUGCUGUCAGCCUUGACUUUGAUGCUCUUAAGUUUCCAAGUGUUUUGUCUUUGAGUGAUGCCUACCGAGAAGCUUUGCACUGGUGAUACAUCUAUGUAAAUUUAGCAAAGUAGAGGGAGUUGCAAAACUUUUACUUCCGGAGAUGACACGUGGCUAACACUUGUUAAAGUCGGGAGAAGAAAAUCAAAACUUGUUAGUUUGAGCUCUCAGAGUGCAUCACAAGAUUUAUUUGCCGUCUGCUGGACACUGGAUGGACUUCAUACACUUUUAUCUGGCUGGAUAAAAGUAAAUGUCUCUUCGAUAUGUCCUGCUUUUCCAUGCUCCACAGAUAGCCAUUCGUACUAUUGGAGAAGUUCAAGGCUUUGCUCUAUCUUCUCGUAACUGAGAAAAGCUUUUUAGACACUCUUCUCCGGUGCUCCUAUAUAGCAUUUCAGUAAGACUUGGUAAUUACUACACAUAUCAACCCCAUGGUACAAGGUACCAAUACCAUGCUCAAACAAGUUCAUCAGUAUGCUCAAGUCCUGGUGGGAUAGCAGAAUAGUUUGGCUGACAUGAUACAUUGAGUAGAAGCUGUAACAUCAAGAGAGCUCAUUGGUGGGAAAUUGUUGCAUCUGGUCAUUCGAGACUUUUUGGAGAGUAUGAGUUCCUCUCAAGUUUGGCUUAUUUCUCAUCAAGUGAUGUCGGAGCCAAGAUGGAAGAGUUUCAUGUGAUGACUACAAAUGUUAGGAAGCCUGUAGUAAUCGAAAAGCGGUGAAAUGCAACUACCCUGGAUCUUGAAGAGGGAGCAACCCAAGCAGAAGAAUGGUUCGUAAAGGUGCAAAGAAGAAGAACAGUGGACUGCAUUUUCUGAAGGAUAUGUUAUUGUUGUAAGUGAUGAAUUUGCCAUUUAACUUGAGCACGUCAAAUGGUACUAUUAGAUAGAUGAUAAUACAUUUGUGUAUUAUAUGCAUUUAUGUUUGAUAAUAUUUAGAUAUUAUGUUGAGAGAAACAAAUACUCCCUCCGUCCACAAAAAAAAGUAUACAAUUAUUUUUGGCGCGGUGUUUAAGAAAUAAUAGUAUUUUAAUUAUAGUGGGUAGUUAAAAGUAGUGUAAUGACAUUUUUGCCCUUGCCUUUUGGUGUAAAAGUAAUGAUGUGAUAUAAAGUAGGGGUAUUUGUGAAAAAAAGUAAGGUAUUUAAUGAAAUGUUUACUUUGUAAUUGGACGUCCCAAAAUAGAAAUAUGUAUACUUUUU